CCGAUGGCGAAGGCAGGUCUCUGGGCAUUUACUGACGCUGAGGAGCGAAAGCAUGGGGAGCGAACAGGAUUAGAUACCCUGGUAGUCCAUGCCGUAAACGUUGGGCACUAGGUGUGGGGGACAUUCCACGUUUUCCGCGCCGUAGCUAACGCAUUAAGUGCCCCGCCUGGGGAGUACGGCCGCAAGGCUAAAACUCAAAGGAAUUGACGGGGGCCCGCACAAGCGGCGGAGCAUGCGGAUUAAUUCGAUGCAACGCGAAGAACCUUACCAAGGCUUGACAUGUUCCAGACCGGGCUAGAGAUAGUCCUUCCCUUCGGGGCUGGUUCACAGGUGGUGCAUGGUUGUCGUCAGCUCGUGUCGUGAGAUGUUGGGUUAAGUCCCGCAACGAGCGCAACCCUCGUUCCAUGUUGCCAGCACGUAGUGGUGGGGACUCAUGGGAGACUGCCGGGGUCAACUCGGAGGAAGGUGGGGAUGACGUCAAAUCAUCAUGCCCCUUAUGUCUUGGGCUUCACGCAUGCUACAAUGGCCGGUACAAUGGGUUGCGAUACUGUGAGGUGGAGCUAAUCCCUAAAAGCCGGUCUCAGUUCGGAUUGGGGUCUGCAACUCGACCCCAUGAAGUCGGAGUC
RNAcentral lists this ribosomal RNA (626 nucleotides) under Glutamicibacter sp. Its description in RNAcentral is "bacterial SSU rRNA". It matches the Rfam family "Bacterial small subunit ribosomal RNA", at positions 709 to 1333 of the family's 1533-position model. The record is from RNAcentral. Lineage: Bacteria; Bacillati; Actinomycetota; Actinomycetes; Micrococcales; Micrococcaceae.